UACGUAGGGACCAAGCGUUGUUCGGAUUUACUGGGCGUAAAGGGCGCGUAGGCGGCGUGGUAAGUCAAUUGUGAAAUCUCCGAGCUUAACUCGGAACGGUCAAUUGAUACUGCUGUGCUAGAGUACAGAAGGGGCAAUCGGAAUUCUUGGUGUAGCGGUGAAAUGCGUAGAUAUCAAGAGGAACACCUGAGGUGAAGACGGGUUGCUGGGCUGAUACUGACGCUGAUGCGCGAAAGCUAAGGUAGCAAACGGG
This 253-nucleotide ribosomal RNA is filed under the name uncultured bacterium. Its description in RNAcentral is "partial 16S ribosomal RNA". It matches the Rfam family "Bacterial small subunit ribosomal RNA", at positions 524 to 776 of the family's 1533-position model. The record is from RNAcentral.